CUUAGAUAUUUAAUCUUCUACCUCUUAUUACCUGACGACCCUGCUUGCUCAACGGAUUUUGUAUCUGCUUAAACGACUGACCACGGCUAUUCUCACUCGGACCGGACUCGCGCACAAAAAAAUUGAGAAAAUGGGCAAAAGAGAAACCCUACUCGGAAUUUGAGAGGCAACUGCUCGUACAGUUGGUGCAGUAAUUUAAUAACUCUAACGUGUCACAUACUCUGGUACUGAUCAUGACAAUAAUAAUGAAAGCUGGAGACCAAAGAGGGCAAGAGCGUCCACUAUAGAUGCCACAUUUAAAUAUGUAAAUCAGCCGGGAACAAGCCACAACUGGACUGAAGAAGCUGGGUUGACGGAAACCAGUGUUGAAGUCACCACUAAAAGUGAAUCAGCAAGCAGAAAAGUAAACCUUCAUUUGAGGACCUUAAAAAAAAUUGCUGUGGCAAGAGUUGGACAACAACAAAAGAAAAUAUGAGAUAGAAA
Pieris rapae (cabbage white) is the source of this 483-nucleotide long non-coding RNA. RefSeq lists it as uncharacterized. NCBI's taxonomy places the organism in Eukaryota, Metazoa, Arthropoda, Insecta, Lepidoptera, Pieridae. The transcript has 2 exons. The record is from RefSeq and is a predicted model, not a curated record.